Molecule: ribosomal RNA, 516 nt
Filed under: uncultured Archaeospora
Lineage: Eukaryota; Fungi; Glomeromycota; Glomeromycetes; Archaeosporales; Archaeosporaceae
Description: SSU rRNA
Rfam family: Eukaryotic small subunit ribosomal RNA
Source: RNAcentral
AAGUAAAGGUAAUUCCAGCUCCAAUAGCGUAUAUUAAAGUUGUUGCAGUUAAAAAGCUCGUAGUUGAAUUUUGGGUUUGGCCAAUUGGUCCGUUCUUGUAACGAGUACUGGUUGGUUGGGCCUCACCGCCUGGUGAUACGUAAUGUCCUUUAUUGGGUGUUGCGAGUAGCCAGGACCUUUACCUUGAAAAAAUUAGAGUGUUUAAAGCAGGCUUAUGCCGGAAUACAUUAGCAUGGAAUAAUAGAAUAGGACGAUGAUUCUAUUUUGUUGGUUUCUAGGAGCAUCGUAAUGAUUAAUAGGGAUAGUUGGGGGCAUUAGUAUUCAAUUGUCAGAGGUGAAAUUCUUGGAUUUAUUGAAGACUAACUACUGCGAAAGCAUUUGCCAAGGAUGUUUUCAUUAAUCAAGAACGAAAGUUAGGGGAUCGAAGACGAUCAGAUACCGUCGUAGUCUUAACCAUAAACUAUGCCGACUAGGGAUCGGGCGAUGUUGUUUCAAUGACUCGCUCGGCACCUUAUG